GAUGAAGAACGUAGCGAAAUGCGAUAAGUAAUGUGAAUUGCUGAAUUCAGUGAAUCAUCGAAUCUUUGAACGCACAUUGCGCCCCCUGGUAUUCCGGGGGGCAUGCCUGUUCGAGCGUCAUUUCACCACUCAAGCCUCGCUUGGUAUUGGGCAACGCGGUCCGCCGCGUGCCUCAAAUCGACCGGCUGGGUCUUCUGUCCCCUAAGCGUUGUGGAAACUAUUCGCUAAAGGGUGUUCGGGAGGCUACGCCGUAAAACAACCCCAUUUCUAAGGUUGACCUCGGAUCAGGUAGGGAUACCCGCUGAACUUAAGCAUAUCAAUAAGCGGAGGA
Molecule: unclassified non-coding RNA, 331 nt
Filed under: soil metagenome
Description: partial contains 5.8S ribosomal RNA, internal transcribed spacer 2, and large subunit ribosomal RNA
Rfam family: 5.8S ribosomal RNA (bases 1-120)
Source: RNAcentral